Molecule: ribosomal RNA, 315 nt
Filed under: uncultured bacterium
Lineage: Bacteria
Description: bacterial SSU rRNA
Rfam family: Bacterial small subunit ribosomal RNA
Source: RNAcentral
GAUGAACGCUAGCGGGAGGCUUAACACAUGCAAGUCGAGGGGUAACAGGCUGGAAUUUCGGUUUCGGUGCUGACGACCGGCGAACGGGUGAGUAACGCGUAUGCAACCUGCCUUUUACAGGGGGAUAGCUUUCGGAAACGGAAAUUAAUACCCCAUAACACUGCACUGUGGCAUCACAGAGCAGUUAAAGCUUCGGUGGUAAAAGAUGGGCAUGCGUAACAUUAGCUAGUUGGUGAGGUAACGGCUCACCAAGGCUGCGAUUUUUAGGGGACCUGAGAGGGUGAUCCCCCACACUGGUACUGAGACACGGACCAG